Molecule: long non-coding RNA, 107 nt
Organism: Stegastes partitus (bicolor damselfish)
Lineage: Eukaryota; Metazoa; Chordata; Actinopteri; Pomacentridae
Exons: 3
Source: RefSeq, a predicted model, not a curated record
CGUCCGUUAAACCGCUGCCUAGCACCGACUCGUCGCACUCAUGGGUCGCUGCCGCCUCAGCACGGACAAACGCCGGUAAACUGAGCGACCACGUUACCGUGGAGAAG